CUGCUCAAGGAACAUUGGUCUUCAAACUCAAUUAGUGACAAAGAUGCUGUCAAAGUUGUCCUUUGCUCUGUGUAGCAGAUGACUGACUAUGGGACUUUUUCCUUUCAGGAAGGAAACGGCAACAUGAAUUCGUAGAUGAUGAGUAGGAUGCCAAAGCCAGAGAUGACAGUGCUCUUGAAGAAAUGCUGGGUAGAACAAAAAGAUGAUCAUGGGAACAGCAAUGGCAGUCAUGUAAAAAUCUUUUUACCGAAGAAGCUGCUCGAAUGUCUACCAAAAUGUUCAAGUUUACCCAAGGAGAGGCACCGCUGGAACACUAAUGAGAGAUCUUGAUGCAGACGUCCUUUUGGAUUUCUUUUUAAUAAUGUGUGACCCUUCACCUUUGACCCCCUGACCUGCAUUACUUUGGUGUAUCUUUUCUGCUGUGAAGGUGUGCUGGUGGCUUUUCUCAAAUAAAAACGAUUUUGGUUGUUGUAAGAAGAAAUAAAGUUUGUGCUCCUCAUUGGCUUUUGCUUUUUAAGUUCAACGCUGUGCAUUUCCCUGUAUCCCAGCACAUCGCUUCUGCCUUGUGUUCUCCCAAGACUUUAUCUGAUUUAUGUUGUCAUUUCUGUACAUCGUUGCUUUGAACUUGCAUUUCUCUACGUUUCUUUUGGUCAGUAAUACAUACGUGAUGUUUGCUGUGGUUUUUCUCUUUGCUGGUCAGCUUUUGGUAGCUCACAGCAAUCACAGGGGAUUUAAGAUUCUCUUCUGAAUAAAAAAUAUUUGUCGUUGUUACAGUUCUGUUCCAUGUCCUGGAGAUGACUGUUCGUAAUGCUCAGCUGAAAACCAAUAGCUGUUCUAAUAAAGGCAUUUGAGAC
Molecule: long non-coding RNA, 854 nt
Filed under: Gallus gallus (chicken)
Lineage: Eukaryota; Metazoa; Chordata; Aves; Galliformes; Phasianidae
Description: long non-coding RNA NONGGAT004837
Source: RNAcentral